GGGGGAAUAGCUCAAUGGUAGAGCGUUGGUCUGUCUAACCAAAAGUUGCGAGUUCGAAUCUCGUUUCUCUCG
This 72-nucleotide transfer RNA is filed under the name Flavobacterium sp. RNAcentral describes it as "tRNA-Asp". It matches the Rfam family "tRNA". Rfam says of the family: Transfer RNA (tRNA) molecules are approximately 80 nucleotides in length. Their secondary structure includes four short double-helical elements and three loops (D, anti-codon, and T loops). Further hydrogen bonds mediate the characteristic L-shaped molecular structure. tRNAs have two regions of fundamental functional importance: the anti-codon, which is responsible for specific mRNA codon recognition, and the 3' end, to which the tRNAs corresponding amino acid is attached (by aminoacyl-tRNA synthetases). tRNAs cope with the degeneracy of the genetic code in two manners: having more than one tRNA (with a specific anti-codon) for a particular amino acid; and 'wobble' base-pairing, i.e. permitting non-standard base-pairing at the 3rd anti-codon position. Lineage: Bacteria; Pseudomonadati; Bacteroidota; Flavobacteriia; Flavobacteriales; Flavobacteriaceae. The record is from RNAcentral.